CACGUAGAUGGCUUUGUAAGUCGGAUGUGAAAUCCCUGGGCUCAACCUGGGAACUGCAUUCGAAACUGCAUUGCUCGAAUGUGGAAGAGGGAAGCGGAAUUCCAGGUGUAGCGGUGAAAUGCGUAGAUAUCUGGAGGAACAUCAGUGGCGAAGGCGGCUUCCUGGUCCAACAUUGACAUUCAGGUGCGAAAGCGUGGGGAGCAAACAGGAUUAGAUACCCUGGUAGUCCACGCCUUAAACUAUGAGAACUAGAUGUCGGGGGGGUUAGCCUCCCGGUGUCGCAGCUAACGCGCUAAGUUCUCCGCCUGGGGAGUACGGCCGCAAGGUUGAA
RNAcentral lists this ribosomal RNA (331 nucleotides) under uncultured bacterium. RNAcentral describes it as "bacterial SSU rRNA". It matches the Rfam family "Bacterial small subunit ribosomal RNA", at positions 568 to 898 of the family's 1533-position model. The record is from RNAcentral.